UGAAAGUAUAAAUAAUGAGAGGAACCAUCACAAAAUGAACAAUGGAGCAUUAAAUGUUGACUGCUAGUGUGUACAUUACUAUAAUUUUAGGAGUGGUAUAUAUAAGAAUAGCUGUUCUAUAACCUUAAUUUUGGUGAGGGCUCGUUUGGGGAUGUGGCAACAUGUGAGUUUGUAAUUGUAACCUGUGUCUAUAAGGAGUACAAUAGAUUACUGGAAGCUAUGUGUGUUUAAAGUGCCAUUUGAUUAAUUAACUCCAUUUUGCUUUCCAUUGCUUAGGAAUCUCCCACUGUUGCAAUCCAUACAUGGCCAUUGUAAAGAUGUUUCAUCAACGUCGAAGAAAAAUAUCUGAGGUUGGAAAAAUAAUUCCAGUGUUGUUGCAGUCAAACUUGAGCCUUACACAAUUGUGGAUGAGACCUAAAAUUUACACAGUUGUUCCUGCACCUUGAUAACAAUUGAAAAUUGUGCACAAUUCUUUUGGCACAUCUAUACUGUCUAUUGAUCAGGCCAUUGUGGGUACUGCAGAGCUAUUGCCUGGUUCAUAGGUGGCUGAAGCUCCAUUGUUCCCCGGUAUCAACAAGUGCAACUGUGCCCAAUUUGAAACAGGAAGUAUGCCGAGAAGAUCCUUUUUGAUGUCUGCAGAGAAACCGGCUCAUAUCAAUGUAAUGUAUAACCACACAAUGAUGAUCUAUGAAAAGAUCUGAAAGAAUAAAGAAGACAUAUUGGUGAAUUAGGGGCGCUAGAGGCAAGAUGCAUUUUACAGUCAAAUGUUUUGGCACCAUAAUUCACACUGACUUCUAUUAAAAGUUAUGUAAAAAUGCUUCUGCAGCAGGGGUGACAAAUGUACCAUAUCACCCUUUUUGUCUGUCACUUCUCUGUACUGCUAUUUCUAACUCUUGAAACAAAGUUGCUGAAGUUAGCUGUUCCUCAGCCAAGACUGCAUUUCCUACAUUGACUGGUUAUUUCUACAUUGUUUCAAAAAGAGCAGUGCAGAAAAUGUAAGGGCCAGACAGCUUAUAUUGGAUGUUUAUAUGAUUUGAUAAGUCAAGACCUAUUAUUAUUAUUGUCAAUUUAAAGAGGAUAUCUUUCAAUGUCACCUCAAAAAUGUUGCUCUGACAUCAGACCACAUUGAUUUAUUCAAGUACACCAAGAAGACCUGUUACUCUCUCUUUGGGAUUCCCUUAAACAAAAGGCCUAAGGCUAGAAACUAGGCAAGAAAAGACACAAGGGACCAAGAGGACCACAACUAUAUAAUUUCAGAGCUUGUCCAUCACAAUAGAGUGAUUUCCAUGCUAGAGAGACAAAUGUAGGAUCCAUAAUGAUCAUUAACUUAUUGCUAUUAAAGUGUAUAAAAUAAUAGUGGUCUUCAAAAAGUGGUAUCUUUCUUCACAACAUUUGCAUGUGAGAGAGAGGUGAGUGAAGUCUUGUUUUAUUUCUUAUUGAAGUGUUUUUCAUCUUCUUCAAUUUCUGUGGCAGAUGCAAGGAGCUAGUCAUAGCUAGUCAUUAUGACUAAGCGCCGGAGGGUGCGAAACGCGUAAGGUGGGCUAU
Molecule: long non-coding RNA, 1545 nt
Organism: Xenopus laevis (African clawed frog)
Lineage: Eukaryota; Metazoa; Chordata; Amphibia; Anura; Pipidae
Exons: 3
Source: RefSeq, a predicted model, not a curated record